AACGCACCUUGCGCUCCUUGGUAUUCCGAGGAGCAUGCCUGUUUGAGUGUCAUUAAAUUCUCAACCUUACCAGCUUUUGCUAGUAAUGGCUUGGAUGUGGGGGUCUUUUGCUGGCUUCGUCAAGAGGUCGGCUCCCCUUAAAUGCAUUAGCUGGUGCCCCGCGCGGAACCGUCUAUUGGUGUGAUAAUUAUCUACGCCGUGGACGUCUGCAUGAAUGGGAUUGCGCUGCUUCUAACCGUCCGUUCUGGACAACACAAAUGACAAUUUGACCUCAAAUCAGGUAGGACUACCCGCUGAACUUAA
RNAcentral lists this unclassified non-coding RNA (303 nucleotides) under uncultured Psilocybe. Its description in RNAcentral is "sequence contains ITS2". The stretch from base 1 to 52 matches the Rfam family "5.8S ribosomal RNA", at positions 103 to 154 of the family's 154-position model. The record is from RNAcentral. Lineage: Eukaryota; Fungi; Basidiomycota; Agaricomycetes; Agaricales; Strophariaceae.